RNAcentral lists this ribosomal RNA (496 nucleotides) under uncultured bacterium. RNAcentral's name for it is "partial 16S ribosomal RNA". It matches the Rfam family "Bacterial small subunit ribosomal RNA", at positions 28 to 506 of the family's 1533-position model. The record is from RNAcentral.
GAUGAACGCUGGCGGCGUGCCUAAUACAUGCAAGUCGAGCGAACAGACGAGGAGCUUGCUCCUCUGACGUUAGCGGCGGACGGGUGAGUAACACGUGGAUAACCUACCUAUAAGACUGGGAUAACUUCGGGAAACCGGAGCUAAUACCGGAUAAUAUAUUGAACCGCAUGGUUCAAUAGUGAAAGACGGUUUUGCUGUCACUUAUAGAUGGAUCCGCGCCGCAUUAGCUAGUUGGUAAGGUAACGGCUUACCAAGGCAACGAUGCGUAGCCGACCUGAGAGGGUGAUCGGCCACACUGGAGCUGGGACACGGUCCAGACUCCUACGGGAGGCAGCAGUAGGGAAUCUUCCGCAAUGGGCGAAAGCCUGACGGAGCAACGCCGCGUGAGUGAUGAAGGUCUUCGGAUCGUAAAACACUGUUAUUAGGGAAGAACAAAUGUGUAAGUAACUAUGCACGUCUUGACGGUACCGAAGCAGAAAGCCACGGCUAACUACGU